UGGGGAAUAUUGGACAAUGGGCGAAAGCCUGAUCCAGCCAUGCCGCGUGUGUGAAGAAGGUCUUCGGAUUGUAAAGCACUUUAAGUUGGGAGGAAGGGCAGUAAGCGAAUACCUUGCUGUUUUGACGUUACCGACAGAAUAAGCACCGGCUAACUCUGUGCCAGCAGCCGCGGUAAUACAGAGGGUGCAAGCGUUAAUCGGAAUUACUGGGCGUAAAGCGCGCGUAGGUGGUUCGUUAAGUUGAAUGUGAAAGCCCCGGGCUCAACCUGGGAACUGCAUCCAAAACUGGCGAGCUAGAGUAGGGCAGAGGGUGGUGGAAUUUCCUGUGUAGCGGUGAAAUGCGUAGAUAUAGGGAGGAACACCAGUGGCGAAGGCGACCACCUGGGCUCAUACUGACGCUGAGGUGCGAAAGCGUGGGGAGCAAACAGG
RNAcentral lists this ribosomal RNA (429 nucleotides) under Pseudomonadota bacterium. Its description in RNAcentral is "Proteobacteria bacterium partial 16S ribosomal RNA". It matches the Rfam family "Bacterial small subunit ribosomal RNA", at positions 355 to 776 of the family's 1533-position model. Lineage: Bacteria; Pseudomonadati; Pseudomonadota. The record is from RNAcentral.